Molecule: transfer RNA, 76 nt
Filed under: Felis catus (domestic cat)
Lineage: Eukaryota; Metazoa; Chordata; Mammalia; Carnivora; Felidae
Rfam family: tRNA
About the family: Transfer RNA (tRNA) molecules are approximately 80 nucleotides in length. Their secondary structure includes four short double-helical elements and three loops (D, anti-codon, and T loops). Further hydrogen bonds mediate the characteristic L-shaped molecular structure. tRNAs have two regions of fundamental functional importance: the anti-codon, which is responsible for specific mRNA codon recognition, and the 3' end, to which the tRNAs corresponding amino acid is attached (by aminoacyl-tRNA synthetases). tRNAs cope with the degeneracy of the genetic code in two manners: having more than one tRNA (with a specific anti-codon) for a particular amino acid; and 'wobble' base-pairing, i.e. permitting non-standard base-pairing at the 3rd anti-codon position.
Source: Rfam by way of RNAcentral
GCUCAGUUGGUUAAGCGUCUGACUUCAGCUCAGGUCAUGAUGUUGCAGUUCGUGGGUUCAAGCCCCGCACUGGGCU